CCGGCUUUUAACAUUUACAGCUCAUAAAGACUAACUAUAACCGUCUUUAUUUCUCAAUCCGAAAACGCUUCGGAUAAGGAUAACCCCAUCCUCAUCGAAUUCUAAGAACAGUCGCUAUAUAAAGAUCUUACAAGUUACACCAAUCUCACCAAAACCCAUAAGACGUUUACUUUCAUCAUUACCACCAAAUCAAGCCCAAAAAUCAUCAUGAAGUCUCUCCUCUCUGAUUUCCGCUCUUGCUACCGCGCGGGGACGUCGAAGCGGCGACCACCUUCUCCUGCUCAGGAGGCGCGUACUGAUCACGCGCCGCCCUCGCGGAGGUUGAGUUCCCCGAAAUUGGAGUCGUCUGCAGGUACGCAGUGGCGGCCGGCUCUCAACGCAAUCUUGGAGGAUGGGGAUGCUACUCCUAAUAGUUCUAAAGGCAGAUCAUCAUCCAAGACUACAGUGGCCAAGUCCCGCAGUGUUGCUAGCAUUGACCAAGUCAAGGCGCCGGUGAUGAUUCCGUCGGCUUACUGGGCGACGCCGUUUAUGUUCUGAUCCGUCCGGAGAUAUAUAAAUAUUAGGGCGGCGAUCAGUUUUACCGCUGGUUCUGUAUGCACAUAGUUUUGUUGGUUGUACUUGUACAGUUGUACAUUGUGGGCACAAAGGAUGAAGCAAUUUUUACUUUUAACCCUUUGCUGUUUUUAUGGUGAAUUUGAUUUUUACUGUUUAGUUUAGUUAUUGAGAGAUGAAUCAAAUCUAGGCUAGUGGUGAACACUGGUCGGAUCUCGAAUCCAUUAUUAUGGUCUUAUUGUCGCCCGUUUUGGGUAAACUCGAAAGAUUUGAUAUGUAUUAUUUAGCUUAAUGAAUAUAAGUUAUUUCGGGCGACCC
This 870-nucleotide long non-coding RNA is filed under the name Rosa chinensis. Its description in RNAcentral is "sRNA RchiOBHm_Chr2g0160511". Lineage: Eukaryota; Viridiplantae; Streptophyta; Magnoliopsida; Rosales; Rosaceae. The record is from RNAcentral.